AGUGAACGCUGGCGGUAGGCCUAACACAUGCAAGUCGAACGGCAGCACAGUAAGAGCUUCCUCUUACGGGUGGCGAGUGGCGGACGACUGAGGAAUACAUCGGAAUCUACUUUUUCGUGGGGGAUAACGUAGGGAAACUUACGAUACUACCGCAUACGACCUACGGGUGAAAGCAGGGGCUCUUCGGACCUUGCGCGACUGUAUGAGCCGAUGUCGGAUUAGCUAGUAGGCGGGGUAAAGGCCUACGAAGGUGACGAUCCGUAGCUGGUCUGCGCGGAUGAUCAGCCACACUGGGACUGAGACACGGCCCAGACUCCUACGGGAGGCAGCAGUGGGGAAUUUUGGACCAUGGGCGCAAGCCUGAUCCAGCCAUGCCGCGUGCAGGAUGAAGGCCUUCGGGUUGUAAACUGCUUUUGUACGGAACGAAAAGCCUUCUUUUAAUACAGGAGGGUCAUGACGGUACCGUAAGAAUAAGCACCGGCUAACUACGUG
This 492-nucleotide ribosomal RNA is filed under the name uncultured bacterium. Its description in RNAcentral is "partial 16S ribosomal RNA". It matches the Rfam family "Bacterial small subunit ribosomal RNA", at positions 29 to 507 of the family's 1533-position model. The record is from RNAcentral.